GCCUAUAUGCUGAAAUUGGUAAACAGAAUAAACUUAAAAUUUAUCGCUAUAAUAGCUUGUUGGUUCGAAUCCAACUAUAGGUA
RNAcentral lists this transfer RNA (83 nucleotides) under Schizosaccharomyces japonicus. RNAcentral describes it as "tRNA-Leu". It matches the Rfam family "tRNA". From Rfam's summary of the family: Transfer RNA (tRNA) molecules are approximately 80 nucleotides in length. Their secondary structure includes four short double-helical elements and three loops (D, anti-codon, and T loops). Further hydrogen bonds mediate the characteristic L-shaped molecular structure. tRNAs have two regions of fundamental functional importance: the anti-codon, which is responsible for specific mRNA codon recognition, and the 3' end, to which the tRNAs corresponding amino acid is attached (by aminoacyl-tRNA synthetases). tRNAs cope with the degeneracy of the genetic code in two manners: having more than one tRNA (with a specific anti-codon) for a particular amino acid; and 'wobble' base-pairing, i.e. permitting non-standard base-pairing at the 3rd anti-codon position. Lineage: Eukaryota; Fungi; Ascomycota; Schizosaccharomycetes; Schizosaccharomycetales; Schizosaccharomycetaceae. The record is from RNAcentral.